CUCUUCUGUAGGACCUCCAUGUGGUGCAAGUAACUGAUCCCUGGAAAGCAAGGCUGUAAUGUGAGCCGGCCACUGCUUCCCCUAGAUUUGUACUUGGGACUGAUGAAGAAGCAUGAGAAGAUAGCUGGGGCGACCCAAGGAGCUCUCCUGAUUCUCAUACCUCAUAGUCUGCCCAAUUACUGCCACCCUCCACCCAGCACCACCCAAGACCCACUCCUAUCGUCCUCAGCGGAAGCAGCUGACACUAGGCCUGUGGGGAAAGUACAUUUUUGGCAAGGCAAGUACCCUCAAGACUUCAGGGAGCUGCUCUUGGCUGUCAC
Long non-coding RNA from Tupaia belangeri chinensis (Chinese tree shrew), 320 nucleotides. RefSeq lists it as uncharacterized. The record is from RefSeq and is a predicted model, not a curated record. Lineage: Eukaryota; Metazoa; Chordata; Mammalia; Scandentia; Tupaiidae. The transcript has 3 exons.